CCUACGGGAGGCAGCAGUGGGGAAUAUUGCACAAUGGGCGCAAGCCUGAUGCAGCAACGCCGCGUGAGGGACGAAGGCCUUCGGGUUGUAAACCUCUUUUAGCAGGGAAGAAGCGAAAGUGACGGUACCUGCAGAAAAAGCGCCGGCUAACUACGUGCCAGCAGCCGCGGUAAUACGUAGGGCGCAAGCGUUGUCCGGAAUUAUUGGGCGUAAAGAGCUCGUAGGCGGUUUGUCGCGUCUGCUGUGAAAAUCCGAGGCUCAACCUCGGACCUGCAGUGGGUACGGGCAAACUAGAGUGCGGUAGGGGAGAUUGGAAUUCCUGGUGUAGCGGUGGAAUGCGCAGAUAUCAGGAGGAACACCAAUGGCGAAGGCAGAUCUCUGGGCCGUAACUGACGCUGAGGAGCGAAAGCGUGGGGAGCGAACAGGAUUAGAUACCCUGGUAG
This 443-nucleotide ribosomal RNA is filed under the name uncultured bacterium. RNAcentral describes it as "bacterial SSU rRNA". It matches the Rfam family "Bacterial small subunit ribosomal RNA", at positions 338 to 793 of the family's 1533-position model. The record is from RNAcentral.